UACGUAGGGGGCGAGCGUUGUCCGGAAUCAUUGGGCGUAAAGAGCGUGUAGGCGGCCCGGUAAGUCCGCUGUGAAAGUCGGGGGCUCAACCCUCGAAUGCCGGUGGAUACUGUCGGGCUAGAGUGCGGAAGAGGCGAGUGGAAUUCCUGGUGUAGCGGUGAAAUGCGCAGAUAUCAGGAGGAACACCAAUUGCGAAGGCAGCUCGCUGGGACGGUACUGACGCUGAGGCGCGAAAGCGUGGGGAGCGAACAGG
Molecule: ribosomal RNA, 253 nt
Filed under: uncultured bacterium
Lineage: Bacteria
Description: partial 16S ribosomal RNA
Rfam family: Bacterial small subunit ribosomal RNA
Source: RNAcentral